This 260-nucleotide ribosomal RNA is filed under the name uncultured bacterium. RNAcentral's name for it is "partial 16S ribosomal RNA". It matches the Rfam family "Bacterial small subunit ribosomal RNA", at positions 524 to 776 of the family's 1533-position model. The record is from RNAcentral.
UACGAAGGGGGCGAGCGUUGUUCGGAUUUACUGGGCGUAAAGGGCGCGCAGGCGGUUCUGUUUGUCGAGUGUGAAAGCCCCGGGCUCAACCUGGGAACUGCGCUCGAAACGGCGGAACUAGAGUUCGGGAGAGGAGAGUGGAAUUCCCAGUGUAGAGGUGAAAUUCGUAGAUAUUGGGAAGAACACCGGUGGCGAAGGCGGCUACUCUCGGAGCCCGAGUACGUGACGUCUGAGGCGCGAAAGCGUGGGGAGCAAACAGG